Molecule: ribosomal RNA, 508 nt
Filed under: uncultured bacterium
Lineage: Bacteria
Description: partial 16S ribosomal RNA
Rfam family: Bacterial small subunit ribosomal RNA
Source: RNAcentral
AUUGAACGCUGGCGGCAUGCCUUACACAUGCAAGUCGAACGGCAGAGGGGGAGAAGCUUGCUUUUCCUGCCGGCGAGUGGCGAACGGGUGAGUAAUACAUCGGAACGUGCCCUGUAGUGGGGGAUAACUAGUCGAAAGAUUAGCUAAUACCGCAUACGACCUGAGGGUGAAAGUGGGGGACCGCAAGGCCUCAUGCUAUAGGAGCGGCCGAUGUCUGAUUAGCUAGUUGGUGGGGUAAAGGCCUACCAAGGCGACGAUCAGUAGCUGGUCUGAGAGGACGAGCAGCCACACUGGGCCUGGGACACGGCCCAGACUCCUACGGGAGGCAGCAGUGGGGAAUUUUGGACAGUGGGCGAAAGCCUGAUCCAGCAAUGCCGCGUGUGUGAAGAGGGCCUUCGGGUUGUAAAGCACUUUUGUCCGGAAAGAAAUGGCUCUGGUUAAUACCUGGGGUCGAUGACGGUACCGGAAGAAUAAGGACCGGCUAACUACGUGCCAGCCGCCGCCGUAA